AUUGAACGCUGGCGGCAGGCUUAACACAUGCAAGUCGAACGAGUGGCGGACGGGUGAGUAAUGUCUGGGAAUCUAGCUUAUGUAGGGGGAUAACUACGGGAAACUGUAGCUAAUACCGCUUACCAUAGGAUGAGCCCACGUGGGAUUAGGUAGUCGGUGGGGUAACGGCUCACCAAGGCGACGAUCCCUAGCUGGUCUGAGAGGAUGAUCAGCCACACUGGGACUGAGACACGGCCCAGACUCCUACGGGAGGCAGCAGUGGGGAAUAUUGCACAAUGGGCGCAAGCCUGAUGCAGCCAUGCCGCGUGUAUGAAGAAGGCCUUAGGGUUGUAAAGUACUUUCAGUCGGGAGGCGUUACCGACAGAAGAAGCACCGGCUAACUCCGUGCCAGCAGCCGCGGUAAUAC
Molecule: ribosomal RNA, 406 nt
Filed under: uncultured bacterium
Lineage: Bacteria
Description: partial 16S ribosomal RNA
Rfam family: Bacterial small subunit ribosomal RNA
Source: RNAcentral